This 498-nucleotide ribosomal RNA is filed under the name uncultured bacterium. RNAcentral's name for it is "partial 16S ribosomal RNA". It matches the Rfam family "Bacterial small subunit ribosomal RNA", at positions 28 to 507 of the family's 1533-position model. The record is from RNAcentral.
GAUGAACGCUGGCGGCGUGCCUAAUACAUGCAAGUCGAGCGGACGGACGGGAGCUUGCCUCCAGACCGUCUGCGGCGGAAGGGUGAGUAAACCGUUGGCAACCUGCCUGUAAGACUGGGAUAAACUCGGGAAAACGGGGCUAAUAACGGAUAAAUCUUUCGCUCACCUGAGGGAAAGCUGAAAGAUGGCAUUUCGUUUCCAUUAUCAGUUGAGCCCGCGGCGCAUUAGCUAGUUGGUAAGGUAACGGCUCACCAAGGCGACGAUGCGUAGCCGACCUGAGAGGGUGAUCGGCCACACUGGAACUGAGACACGGUCCAGACUCCUACGGGAGGCAGCAGUAGGGAAUCUUCCGCAAUGGGCGAAAGUCUGACGGAGCAACGCCGCGUGAGUGAUGAAGGUUUUCGGAUCGUAAAACUCUGUUAUCAGGGAAGAACAAGUGCCGAAGUAACUGCCGAUACCUUGACGGUACCUAACCAGAAAGCCACGGCUAACUACGUG